This 114-nucleotide ribosomal RNA is filed under the name Diaphorina citri (Asian citrus psyllid). Lineage: Eukaryota; Metazoa; Arthropoda; Insecta; Hemiptera; Psyllidae. The record is from RNAcentral.
GCCAGUGACGUUAACACGUUGAAUGCGCCAGUUCCCUAUGGAUCACUGAAGUUGAGCAACGUUGAGCGUUAUUUUCGGAUGGGUGACUAUUUUGGCAAUCACGUGUUGUUGGCU